UGAUUAUCUCCCUUUGUUCCGGAAUGCUGGUGACGUCAUUCGUGUCCUCUCAUUAUGUAAACAAACAAGCAUGGCCGCGAAUAUGUGAACGACAAUACAACGAUACAACUAUGGACUAUCGAUUCACAGACGAUGAACGUGAACAGAUAGACAUUCCCAAGGUUAAACAAACUAUGUCAGUACAAUCAUACAAGUAUGAACCUGUAAGUCAGAGCCAGAGGAUUGUAGGUGCCGAAUCGGUAACUGGAUAAAGAAGCCAACAUUUUCUACAUCCGAUGGUGAAGAUGGAAACGAAAUAGAUCUUUAACAGCCUGCCGGCUUCAAAAUCUCUCAUGGUGCGUAAAUAAGAUAGUAAAAUAAUGUAUUUAGGCAUAAUUUUUGUGAGUCCAAGAUUACUCUGACACCCAACGGCUGUUUUGUAGGACAAGCUUGGGCCCUCGGCACGACCCCAGUUUGUCUGGCAAAACAGCCGUUGGACGUCAGAGUCAUCUCGGACAAAAUUUUUGUAAUCAUAUAAUAAUGAUAUAAGUAGGUUGGUAUACACAGUACAUGUAUAUUGCGACCUUUAGCUGUUGAGGGAGGGGUUGGCAGGAAACAUGAAAAAUUGAGGGGGAGUAGGGAGAUGGAAUUGGAUGGGUUAGGGAAGAGGAAAAUUAUCAAAGACUCCUGCCCACCCCUCUUUAGUUGAAGUUUAGAUAAAAAGGAAAAAAGGGGGUGAGAUUUUGUUUGAUUUGAUUGAAAAAGAAGGCCUGAAAUGGAAAUGUCUUCAAAUGAUACUAUCAAUUCUUCCCUCUCUGUAUGAUAUACAUCAUUACAUGUACAAUGUAUGUAUUACAAUAUAGUGGGUAAUAUAAACAAAAGCAAUUGUGUGUGGUAAUGUACAGUGAAUCUACAUGUGUGCACUAUAUAUUAUAUAUAUGUAGACAAUUUUUGUCAUGAAUUAAUGAACAUGUCUGAAUAAAUUAUAUUCAUAGUCACUAGUCAGUCCUAAUUUUGUACAAAUUUUGCAAAUUUACAGUACUUUAAUACAUGAGUUGGUGAAAUAUCUUCAUACAUGUACAUUUGUGUAUGUCUCUGGUGUGAUGUACUUGUAUAUAUAUCAAAACAUGGGGAGGGUGGGUGCAUGUUUGAUCAUGUUGAUUCGUUUAAAUAAAUGUUUAAGUUGUGAAUGGAAUAAAUUAAGAAAAUAUAUUUCUCUCUUUUUUUAAAUUCAAUACAUGAUGAUUGAUCAACAUGGCAAACUUGCUACAGUAAGAGACUGCUGCAUUUAUGCUUAUUAAUUUGCUUGAACAGAGCGAUUCUCUCUAUAAACUCCAUCUCAUCAAUAUCAAAGUAUUUAGACAAUUUAGAUAUACUUAUAUCCCUUUUGAUUGAUUGAUUUUGUCCAACCCAAACCAUACCUUCUUGUGCCUGUUGUAUUAUGAAUACAUGGGUGAAUACCUUCAAGAAAAUAAUCCAUUUGAUCCAAAUCAUAUGAUUCAUGAGUAAGUAUACUGUCACAUUGCUUAAUUAUGCCAGUAGCAAGUAACCCCUCAUUAUACACUAACUUGUACUACUACUUAAAUGACUAUAUUCUUUUUUAUUUUGCCAACACAAACCUGUCAAUUACCCUGUAUGGAAUCUAGUUUUCUGGAAAGUUCACAUUUCUUUGUCUCCUAAUGACAAACUGUUGCAUGUAUUGUUAAUAUUUAAAGACAAGAAGUUAAUUAAUUUUCUGUGAUUAGGUUUAAUUUUUAACAUACAAAUUCAAUUACAAACAAUGAAUAUCACUUGCAUUUAUUUGUGACUGGCACAGAGACUGAUGCAUACAAAGCAAUUCAUGUUCAGUUUUCAUAGAUUUCUGUACCAGCAGCUAUUUCAGAAGCACCAGUAAAUGUAAAUUUUGUAUAUAAUGUCUGUGCCAUUUGGCCUCUUGUGUAUUGUUGUCUCAUUGACACCCAUUUCACUACUUCCCUACUCGAGCUAUAAUAAGAUUACAGUUGAUAAUUAAAGUAAGAUUUUGUACUUGAUUUUUAAAUCCUUAUCAAGUUUCAAAAGAGUAAAUAAACAACCAUAUGAUUUUAACUACUAAAUAUGUAUGAAUAAAGAAGAUGUGGGAUAUACAUAUAUUGGACAGCAACCAAACAAGAAUAACUAAGACACCUUGUAAAAUUUCAUUUUUAAAAUAAGUUCUCACUGAAUACUUUUUUGUUUUCAGAAAUAAUAGAUAUUUGUCACAAAGAAGAUUUACCAUGUACUAGGAGAAACAUAAGAGUUGUGUUGCCAUCAGGUGUUGUUUGCAAAAAAAGGGAACAGUUCCCAGCUGAACAAUUUACAAACUUUAAAUAGCCUUAAUGACCACACAAAGAGUCAAAUUAUAUUAACUAUAUUGAUAAUAAAAUUUUAUCACAUUUAUUCAUUGUUUAAUUUAUUUAUAAGUGGUCUCCUUUUCUUGUCUGUUUGCCUGGUCUGCUAGCAGAGGUGGCUCAGCCAGUCUUUUAUCAACUGUUGCUACAAAUGUAUAUCUAAGCCACUUUUGUAUGAAGGAUACUUCC
This 2534-nucleotide long non-coding RNA is filed under the name Mytilus galloprovincialis (Mediterranean mussel). Lineage: Eukaryota; Metazoa; Mollusca; Bivalvia; Mytilida; Mytilidae. The record is from RNAcentral.